This is a long non-coding RNA of Hirundo rustica (Barn swallow), 2398 nucleotides long. RefSeq lists it as uncharacterized. The record is from RefSeq and is a predicted model, not a curated record. The transcript has 3 exons. NCBI's taxonomy places the organism in Eukaryota, Metazoa, Chordata, Aves, Passeriformes, Hirundinidae.
CAGAUGGCUUUUCCUUUUACCUGGGGCAGUUCAGAUGGAAGAAAAAAACAUCCAGUCUAAAGUUGAUGAGGCAACAGGAAAUUUUUUGUGUUCUCCACUGCAAGUAGGUUGAGCUGGUACCACCAGGUCACACAGCCCUUACUUUGGAGCCAAUGAAACUGGAUUCAAGCCCUGGACUGUGCAAAAACCGAAAAGACUGUGUGGCAGACAAGGACCCUUUUGAGCCUGAUGUCUUUUUCACAGCUAUUCCCUGUUUUUACCUCCUGUCAAAGAUGCAGUACUAUGAAGAUAAUUUCUGAGUCUUGACUGCUUAUACACACAUUCACCUCCUGAAACAGUCACGUAGCUUCCAGAGAGGCAGUGAACACCAAGACCCUUUUCAGGAUAUGUGUAGGAAAUGUUGAAACAACAUAAUUUCUGUUGUUUAUAAAACACUGUGGAUUUAAUGACUUGUUUAAUAACAAGACAGGUCCAAUGCAGGAUUUUAGAGGCAGACAUCUCUAAAGAUAUGGUUUUCCGAAUAGCAGGUCAGAAACUGAUCCUCUGAGGAAAUCCAGUGUAGAAAUUUCACUGCGUGUCAAUAUCCAAUUUCAUUUUGGAGUUGUCUAUCAUUUGUCUGCACCAAAAAACCUUUAACAAAAGUGGAGCACUAGCUAGUAUUUUAUGUAACUGCUCUAAAAUAUUUCUAGAUUUCUACAUCUGAUGAUAAAGAGAUGCUUUCAAUGUAAACAGAGUGAGGUCAGAAAUCAAAUAUUCAUCACAAUUUCUUCAGCUUAUUUAGUUUACAAAUUUAACAUGAAUUUGGGUCAAUCAGGUUCACUGUUUCUCUUUAAUGGCCACUUAGAAAUUUAAUAGAUUUGAUCUAGAAAUGGGACAAAAAAUUUAAUCAAAAGAGAUGAGCAACACACACACAAAGAAAUGCUUGUUUUAAGAGUAGUGUCCUGGCCACAGCUGUGGACUUGCUUGCAGGAACUGAAGUGCUGGUCAGCCUGAAGCGCUGAUUUCCUAAAACACAGAUUAGUGGCUCACAGUAAUUUUUCGGCCUUAAAAUCAAUUAACCAGGUCUUCUGCAAAUGGAGAACAGUUUGGUAAGAAGUGGCACGGGGGAGGUGGGAGAAGAAGAGAGAAAAGUGUUUGCAAAAACACAGAUACUGAUGAGAGGACACGGGGCACCUGGUACAGUUUUUGUGAUCCAGUUCCUGUCGCAGUUUUCCUUGAUGACUUUGGAAAGUUUUGUGGGUCAGUUCCUCUCUUCUGAAAACAGUGAUAAAAGGCCUGCCUUAGAGGAGUGGCAUGUGGAUGAACCAGCCCAGAGCAGGACAGGAAUUCCCCUUGUUUGCAGAUCCUCUUGGGCAGUGUUGGUGACUACGCUGUCUGUGGCUUUCUGAUCCGAGGGCUUUGUGGCCAAGAGACAAGCAUUGUGUUUGUUGCAUGAAGCACUUUUUCGUUAUGGAAGGGAGAUGCCUUACCUGCAUCUGCAACUGCAAGUUGGAAUCUUAGCUCACAGGUUUAAGGUUUGACACCAUAAGAUGCUGAGCACAAUCCAGCAAUUGCUCCUUGCUUCAGCACAUGGCAAUGUUGGUUACGUUGACCUUUUAAAGGCGGUCUCCUACCACGAUGCAGUCUCAAGAUGCGUCUGUAAAGACCAGAGACAGUGAUGUCAGUAGGGGUGUGCCUGCACCUUUGCAUUGCCGCCUCCCCUGCUCGUCGGGAAGAGCAGAAAGAGGAGGGCAGCCAGCUGCAGCAAAAGCUGCUCUCUCCCUGCAGCAGGACAGCGGGCUUCUCUCAGUUUUCAGGGUGCAGUACAAAGGCGGACAACUAUAUCUUGCUUUCUCCCAGCCUACCAGAAGACUAUAUGGUAAAUGCCCAGCUGAUGUGCCAGAGUGCCUCCUGAGUUCACUUCAGAGUGCUUCUGUUCAAAAUGCAGUAAAUCAUCAUAUCCCAGUCUGCCUGCAGACCACACAGUGAAUUAAGAAUGCUCCUCAUGUAAUACUGACUUGAUCUCAUCUUACACAUACCCCAAAGCAAUAGCAAGGGGAAAAUGCUGUGAAGCAUUUUUUUCCUUUGUUAGUGCCCUCAGGGCUCAAUCUGAACUUUGUAAGAGACAAAAAAGAAUAGCUGGGAAAAAUGGUGAAUUUCUGCACGCCAUAAGGACUGGAGGAGCUUAUGUUGUCAUCUGCUUCUGUUGUGAGGGGGUGUCCAGAUGUGACAGUGAGCAGGGCUUUUUUAGCCACACUCAAGGCAAAUGUGACCCAUAUUGCAUCUCUUUAAACAACCACCUUCCACUUUUCUCUUACCUUUGUUCCAGAAGGCAGGAAGAUACCACCUCUGUUGAAGAUUUUUUUUUUUUUAAGUGCACUUCUUCGGCUGCUAAUAAAUUUAAUAAAUUGUUUGGUGA